Poecilia reticulata (guppy) is the source of this 1716-nucleotide non-coding RNA. NCBI's taxonomy places the organism in Eukaryota, Metazoa, Chordata, Actinopteri, Cyprinodontiformes, Poeciliidae. The record is from the annotation of a RefSeq genome assembly.
UUGAGGACUGAGGCCUCCAUAUGUGGGUUGUGCUUAACCCCUGCGCCACCACAGCAAACCCCAUCUUGAUCAAACAUUAAACUAGUUAUGUUAUAUUUCAGGGGUUCUUUCUGGGACCGGACCGGCCCAGAACUGAACUCCAGGUUCUGCUGGAGCUGAAGGUAACCUGUCGGUUCUACCCAGUUCUGUUCAGAAACAUGUUGGAGGCAGGAAGUGGACCACAGAGCAGGAUGUUUCUGGUUCUGGUUGAAAUUGAACAGUCCAGAUCCUGAAGCAAACUUUAUGGUCCAAUGUUCUCUGAAUGCUACGGUUCUGCUGCAGGGUUCUGAUCCUCUCCAGUCCGAAGACCGCCAGUGGUUCUGGAGACGCAGGUUUAGACCCUGGUCUCUUUAAACUGGGACAAUAUGAACUAUUCAAUACGAACUGGGUCCAAACCGGGACCAGAACAGAACCAUGGUCCCAGGCAGCAGCAGAUCCACAUCAGGCUGGAAAACAGAAGGUCAGAGGUCAUCUGGACCGACAGAUGAAGUUAGCUGUAAGCAGUGAGGAGUGACGGCAUGUUGGACAGGGACAAACCAGUGGUUCUGUUGGAUAUUUGGACCAGAACCUGCCUUUAAACGGAUCAAGAUGGAGAUCAACGAGACCCUGAAACCUGUGGUGAUCGUCUUCAGAACCCAAACUGGUACCGGUCCAUUUAUACUGUGUUUCCUUUGAUGUGUCAGAACCACAUGAUAAACACACUGCAGAACCAGAACUGACCGGCAACACAUCCGCCUCCUGCUGUGAUCGUCAACGCGGCCCAGCAGUAGCCAUAUUGGAUCAGCUGGUUCAAUCGGAUCCAGCAGGACAGAGAGCUAGCAUGCUAUGCUACCUUAGCAGAACUCCCGCAGACCAGCAAACAAGAAGUUGAGUCAGUGAUGAAGAUGCAGGAGGAAGAGGAGGAAGAGGAGGAGCUGCUCUGCCCCUGAACUCUAAAGAGACUCAAACUUCCUCCUUCAGCUCAGCUCUCCAACAUUAACUCUGCUCAACAUGCUGUCUCUGCUCACAUCUGGAUUCUCUCUGCUGGUUCUGAUCACUGGAUCAGGUGUAAACUGUCAACAACUCACUGCAGGAAAGAUUGAGGAGUUCAGUUCAGAGGGCAGCUCUGUUACUGUGUCCUACAGUUUCUCUAAAGCUGCUGUUUAUGAUGAUUAUUUCUUCUGGUAUCGACAAUAUCCUGGAGAACCUCCAGAGUUCCUGAUCUCCCACUCAGGAAUAGGAGCUCCAAUGUCAGCGCCGCUUCCUGGUUUAUCCUUCAACAUGAGUGAAGAUAAAACCCAGAUGGAUCUGCUGAUCUCCUCUGCUGCAGUGACAGACUCUGCUGUGUACUACUGCGCUCCGGACGAUUCCUGGAUCCGACCCGGAUCCAUCCCGGUUCUGACCCGGUUCCGACCCGGCAUCAUGAAAGUUAUUUUGUUCUGGUUCCCAGCCGGGUUGGAGGUCCAUCAUCUCCUCACCGUCGUUCCUGUAGAGGUUCUGCUGCAGGAACCGACCCGUCUGCCGGUCCUGCUCGGCUCUGUGGGGAGUCGAGGCAGGAAGGGGCGGGGCUUCAGACUGAUGAGCGCUCUAGGUGUUAGCGUAGCGCUACAGGUCCGGCUCGGUCCGGUUCCGGCUUCCACCCUGAACAAGGCACUAAACCCCAGGCUGCCUCCGGAUGUCUGGGGUAUAAAUGAGUGA